RNAcentral lists this ribosomal RNA (2966 nucleotides) under Coprobacillus sp. AM28-15LB. Its description in RNAcentral is "23S ribosomal RNA". It matches the Rfam family "Bacterial large subunit ribosomal RNA". The record is from RNAcentral. Lineage: Bacteria; Bacillati; Bacillota; Erysipelotrichia; Erysipelotrichales; Coprobacillaceae.
AAAAGUCAAGCUACUAAGGGCAUACGGUGGAUGCCUAGGCGCCAAGAGCCGAAGAAGGACGCGGUAAGCUGCGAAAAGCCACGGGGAACUGCAAGCAAGUAUUGAUCCGUGGAUAUCCGAAUGGGGAAACCCGGCCAUCGUCAUGGAUGGUCACCCGCAAGGGAGGGAACCUGGGGAACUGAAACAUCUAAGUACCCGGAGGAAGAGAAAUCAAACGAGAUGCCCACAGUAGCGGCGAGCGAAGAGGGCAGAGCCCANNNNNNNNNNACGAGAUGCCCACAGUAGCGGCGAGCGAAGAGGGCAGAGCCCAAACCGAGAAGCUCCGGCUUUUCGGGGUUGAGGACCGGCAGAAUCGAAGUCAGGCCUAGUCGAAUUACCUGGAAAGGUAAGCGAGAGAGGGUAAAAGCCCCGUAGACGAAAGGCAGAGCAGAGAGGCCGAGAUCCAGAGUACCACGAAGCACGAGGAAUUUUGUGGGAAGCAGGGGGGACCACCCUCCAAGGCUAAAAACUACUUGGCGACCGAUAGCGCAUAGUACCGUGAGGGAAAGGUGAAAAGAACCCCGGGAGGGGAGUGAAAUAGUACCUGAAACCGUAUGUCUACAAGCAGUCGAAGCGAAAGCGACGGCGUGCCUAUUGAAGAAUGAACCAACGAGUUAUCUGCACUAGCGAGGUUAAGUGGAAGACACGGAGCCGCAGCGAAAGCGAGUCUUAAGAGGGCGCUAGUUAGUGUAGGUAGACCCGAAACCGCAGUGAUCUACCCAUGUCCAGGUUGAAGCGCAGGUAAAAUUGCGUGGAGGACCGAACCGGUGAGCGUUGAAAAGCUUUCGGAUGAGAUGUGGGUAGGGGUGAAAUUCCAAUCGAACGCGGAGAUAGCUGGUUCUCCCCGAAAUAGCUUUAGGGCUAGCCUGAGGUAGUAAGUAUAGGCGGUAGAGCACUGAUCGGGCUAGGGGCCGUAAAGGUUACCGAACCCUGUCAAACUCCGAAUGGAUAUACUGUAGAGCCUUGGAGUCAGACUACGAGUGAUAAGAUCCGUGGUCAAAAGGGAAACAGCCCAGACCACCAGCUAAGGUCCCCAAUGUCGUACUAAGUGGAAAAGGAUGUGGGGUUUCAUAAACAACCAGGAUGUUGGCUCAGAAGCAGCCACCAUUUAAAGAGUGCGUAAUAGCUCACUGGUCGAGAGACCCUGCGCCGAAGAUUCCCGGGGCUAAAGUACGAAACCGAAGCUGUGGCUGUAUACGUAAAGUAUACGGGGUAGGGGAGCGUUCCCAUAGGGUAGAAGUCGAACUGGAAGGUUCGGUGGACUUGUGGGAAGUGAGAAUGUUGGUAUGAGUAGCGAAAAGAAAGGUGAGAAUCCUUUCCACCGAAAGCAUAAGGAUUCCUGAGCAACGAUCGUCGUCUCAGGGUAAGUCGGGACCUAAUCCGAGGCAGAGAGCGUAGGAGAUGGACAACUGGUUGAUAUUCCAGUACCGGUAGUAAUUGUUUGAGCAAUGGAGUGACACAGAAGGGCAGGCAAGCAUGCGAAUGGAAGAGCAUGUGUAAGCGUGUAGGGUGGUGCAUAGGCAAAUCCGUGCACUGAAAGCCUGAGGCGUGAUGCGGAGUGAGCAGAGAUGCGAGCGAAGUUGCUGACCCCACACUGUCGAGAAAAGCUUCUAGUGAGAGAGCUACCGCCCGUACCGUAAACCGACACAGGUAUGCGGGGAGAGAAUCCUAAGGUGCGCGGGAGAACCCUCGUUAAGGAACUCGGCAAAAUGUACCCGUAACUUCGGGAUAAGGGUAGCCACUGUUGUGAAGUCCCAUGCGGAUGGAGCAUAGAGUGGUCGCAGAGAAGAGGCCCAAGCGACUGUUUACCAUAAACACAGGUGCCUGCUAAAGCGAAAGCUGACGUAUAGGUGCUGACACCUGCCCAGUGCCGGAAGGUUAAGGAAGGAUGUUCGGAUUAGUCCAAAGCAUUCGACUGAAGCCCCGGUGAACGGCGGCCGUAACUAUAACGGUCCUAAGGUAGCGAAAUUCCUUGUCGGGUAAGUUCCGACCCGCACGAAAGGUGUAACGAUUUGGGCACUGUCUCAACGAGGGACCCGGUGAAAUUGAAAUACCUGUGAAGAUGCAGGUUACCCGCGACUGGACAGAAAGACCCCAUGGAGCUUUACUGUAACCUGACAUUGGGUUUUGAUACAUUACGUACAGGAUAGGUGGGAGGCUUGGAAAGUUGGACGCUAGUCUGGCUGGAGCCGACGUUGGGAUACCACCCUUGAUGUAUUGAAAUUCUAACCGCGAGAGUAACGAAAUCCGGGACAGUGUCAGGCGGGCAGUUUGACUGGGGCGGUCGCCUCCGAAAGAGUAACGGAGGCGCCCAAAGGUUCCCUCAGCGCGGCCGGAAAUCGCGCGAAGAGUGUAAAGGCAGAAGGGAGCUUGACUGCGAGUCAAACACGACGAGCAGGUACGAAAGUAGGGCUUAGUGAUCCGGUGGUACCGAGUGGAAGGGCCAUCGCUCAACGGAUAAAAGCUACCCUGGGGAUAACAGGCUAAUCUCUCCCAAGAGUCCAUAUCGACGGGGAGGUUUGGCACCUCGAUGUCGGCUCAUCACAUCCUGGGGCUGAAGUCGGUCCCAAGGGUUGGGCUGUUCGCCCAUUAAAGUGGUACGUGAGCUGGGUUCAGAACGUCGUGAGACAGUUCGGUCCCUAUCCAUCGCGGGCGCAAGAGAUUUGAAGGGGGCUGCUCCUAGUACGAGAGGACCGGAGUGGACGAACCGCUGGUGUACCAAUUAUCCCGCCAGGGGUACAGUUGGGUAGCUACGUUCGGAAAGGAUAAACGCUGAAAGCAUCUAAGCGUGAAACCAGCCUUAAGAUGAGAUCUCUCAUAGAGCAAUCUAGUAAGACACCUUAAAGAAGAUGAGGUUGAUAGGUCGGGAGUGUAAGUACAGCAAUGUAUUGAGCGGACCGAUACUAAUAUGUCGAGGGCUUGACUUA